GUUGUAUGGUUAAGUGACUAAGCGUACACGGUGGAUGCCUGGGCAGUCAGAGGCGAUGAAGGACGUACUAACUUGCGAUAAGCGCAGAUAAGGCAGUAAGAGCCGUUUGAGUCUGCGAUUUCCGAAUGGGGAAACCCAACUGCAUAAGCAGUUACUGUUAACUGAAUACAUAGGUUAACAGAGCAAACCGGGGGAACUGAAACAUCUAAGUACCCCGAGGAGAAGAAAUCAACCGAGAUUCCGGUAGUAGCGGCGAGCGAACCUGGAUUAGCCCUUAAGCACUCGGUGAAGUAGGUGAACAAGCUGGAAAGCUUGGCGAUACAGGGUGAUAGCCCCGUAACCGACGCUUCAUCGAGCGUGAAAUCGAGUAGGGCGGGACACGUGAUAUCCUGUCUGAAUAUGGGGGGACCAUCCUCCAAGGCUAAAUACUCCUGACUGACCGAUAGUGAACCAGUACCGUGAGGGAAAGGCGAAAAGAACCCCUGUGAGGGGAGUGAAAUAGAACCUGAAACCGUGUACGUACAAGCAGUAGGAGCACCUUCGUGGUGUGACUGCGUACCUUUUGUAUAAUGGGUCAGCGACUUAUAUUCAGUGGCAAGGUUAACCGUAUAGGGGAGCCGUAGCGAAAGCGAGUCUUAACUGGGCGCUCAGUCUCUGGAUAUAGACCCGAAACCGGGUGAUCUAGCCAUGGGCAGGUUGAAGGUUGAGUAACAUCAACUGGAGGACCGAACCGACUAAUGUUGAAAAAUUAGCGGAUGACUUGUGGCUAGGGGUGAAAGGCCAAUCAAACUCGGAGAUAGCUGGUUCUCCCCGAAAGCUAUUUAGGUAGCGCCUCGGACGAAUACUACUGGGGGUAGAGCACUGUUAAGGCUAGGGGGUCAUCCCGACUUACCAACCCUUUGCAAACUCCGAAUACCAGUAAGUACUAUCCGGGAGACACACGGCGGGUGCUAACGUCCGUCGUGGAGAGGGAAACAACCCAGACCGCCAGCUAAGGUCCCAAAGUAUUGCUAAGUGGGAAACGAUGUGGGAAGGCUCAGACAGCUAGGAUGUUGGCUUAGAAGCAGCCAUCAUUUAAAGAAAGCGUAAUAGCUCACUAGUCGAGUCGGCCUGCGCGGAAGAUGUAACGGGGCUAAGCAAUACACCGAAGCUGCGGCAAUGUCUUUUAGACAUUGGGUAGGGGAGCGUUCUGUAAGCCGUUGAAGGUGAAUCGUAAGGUUUGCUGGAGGUAUCAGAAGUGCGAAUGCUGACAUGAGUAACGACAAAGGGGGUGAAAAACCUCCUCGCCGGAAGACCAAGGGUUCCUGUCCAACGUUAAUCGGGGCAGGGUGAGUCGACCCCUAAGG
This 1346-nucleotide ribosomal RNA is filed under the name Vibrio cholerae. RNAcentral's name for it is "partial 23S ribosomal RNA". It matches the Rfam family "Bacterial large subunit ribosomal RNA", at positions 1 to 1396 of the family's 2925-position model. Lineage: Bacteria; Pseudomonadati; Pseudomonadota; Gammaproteobacteria; Vibrionales; Vibrionaceae. The record is from RNAcentral.